This 120-nucleotide small RNA is filed under the name Gammaproteobacteria bacterium. Its description in RNAcentral is "RtT sRNA". It matches the Rfam family "RtT RNA". Rfam says of the family: This family represents a bacterial cis-regulatory element known as RtT RNA. The exact function of RtT is unknown although it is thought that it may be involved in changing the cellular response in relation to amino acid starvation. Lineage: Bacteria; Pseudomonadati; Pseudomonadota; Gammaproteobacteria. The record is from RNAcentral.
GCAGAGGGUUGGAAGGGCAGGAUUUGAACAGGUUCGACCGAUGAGCGCAGCGAAUCGGAACGGCGCAGCCGGCCCGUAGGGUGAGGGAUGUAGUCCCGAAUAAUCCUGCCGCUCCAGCCA